UACGUAGGGUGCGAGCGUUGUCCGGAAUUAUUGGGCGUAAAGGGCUCGUAGGCGGUUUGUCACGUCGGGAGUGAAAACUCGGGGCUUAACCCCGAGCCUGCUUCCGAUACGGGCUGACUAGAGGUAUGCAGGGGAGAACGGAAUUCCUGGUGUAGCGGUGAAAUGCGCAGAUAUCAGGAGGAACACCGGUGUCGAAGGCGCACAUCUGGCCCGAUACGGACGCUGAGGCGCGAAAGCUAGGGGAGCAAACGGG
Molecule: ribosomal RNA, 253 nt
Filed under: uncultured bacterium
Lineage: Bacteria
Description: partial 16S ribosomal RNA
Rfam family: Bacterial small subunit ribosomal RNA
Source: RNAcentral